Molecule: ribosomal RNA, 1470 nt
Filed under: metagenome
Description: bacterial SSU rRNA
Rfam family: Bacterial small subunit ribosomal RNA
Source: RNAcentral
AGAGUUUGAUCCUGGCUCAGGACGAACGCUGGCGGCACGCUUAACACAUGCAAGUCGAACGAGAGAAGAGGAGCUUGCUUUUCUGAUCUAGUGGCGGACGGGUGAGUAACACGUGAGCAAUCUGCCUUUCAGAGGGGGAUACCGAUUGGAAACGAUCGUUAAUACCGCAUAACAUAAUUGAACCGCAUGAUUUGAUUAUCAAAGAUUUAUCGCUGAAAGAUGAGCUCGCGUCUGAUUAGCUAGUUGGUAAGGUAACGGCUUACCAAGGCGACGAUCAGUAGCCGGACUGAGAGGUUGAUCGGCCACAUUGGGACUGAGACACGGCCCAGACUCCUACGGGAGGCAGCAGUGGGGAAUAUUGCACAAUGGAGGAAACUCUGAUGCAGCGAUGCCGCGUGAGGGAAGAAGGUUUUAGGAUUGUAAACCUCUGUCUUCAGGGACGAAAAAAGACGGUACCUGAGGAGGAAGCUCCGGCUAACUACGUGCCAGCAGCCGCGGUAAUACGUAGGGAGCGAGCGUUGUCCGGAAUUACUGGGUGUAAAGGGAGCGUAGGCGGGAUCGCAAGUCAGAUGUGAAAACUAUGGGCUUAACCCAUAAACUGCAUUUGAAACUGUGGUUCUUGAGUGAAGUAGAGGUAAGCGGAAUUCCUAGUGUAGCGGUGAAAUGCGUAGAUAUUAGGAGGAACAUCAGUGGCGAAGGCGGCUUACUGGGCUUUAACUGACGCUGAGGCUCGAAAGCGUGGGGAGCAAACAGGAUUAGAUACCCUGGUAGUCCACGCCGUAAACGAUGAUUACUAGGUGUGGGGGGACUGACCCCUUCCGUGCCGCAGCAAACGCAAUAAGUAAUCCACCUGGGGAGUACGACCGCAAGGUUGAAACUCAAAGGAAUUGACGGGGGCCCGCACAAGCAGUGGAGUAUGUGGAUUAAUUCGAAGCAACGCGAAGAACCUUACCAGGUCUUGACAUCGUAUGCAUAGCUCAGAGAUGAGUGAAAUCUCUUCGGAGACAUAUAGACAGGUGGUGCAUGGUUGUCGUCAGCUCGUGUCGUGAGAUGUUGGGUUAAGUCCCGCAACGAGCGCAACCCUUACUGUUAGUUGCUACGCAAGAGCACUCUAGCAGGACUGCCGUUGACAAAACGGAGGAAGGUGGGGAUGACGUCAAAUCAUCAUGCCCCUUAUGACCUGGGCCUCACACGUACUACAAUGGCUGUCAUCAGAGGGAAGCAAAGCCGCGAGGUGGAGCGAACCCCUAAAAGCAGUCUUAGUUCGGAUUGUAGGCUGCAACCCGCCUACAUGAAGUCGGAAUUGCUAGUAAUCGCAGAUCAGCAUGCUGCGGUGAAUACGUUCCCGGGCCUUGUACACACCGCCCGUCACGCCAUGGGAGUCGGUAACACCCGAAGCCUGUAGUCUAACCGCAAGGAGGACGCAGUCGAAGGUGGGAUUGAUGACUGGGGUGAAGUCGUAACAAGGUA